Molecule: ribosomal RNA, 321 nt
Filed under: uncultured soil bacterium
Lineage: Bacteria
Description: bacterial SSU rRNA
Rfam family: Bacterial small subunit ribosomal RNA
Source: RNAcentral
AGAUUGAACGCUAGCGGGAUGCUUUACACAUGCAAGUCGAACGGCAGCGCGGACUUCGGUCUGGCGGCGAGUGGCGAACGGGUGAGUAAUAUAUCGGAACGUGCCCAGUAGCGGGGGAUAACUACGCGAAAGCGUGGCUAAUACCGCAUACGCCCUACGGGGGAAAGGGGGGAUCGCAAGACCUCUCACUAUUGGAGCGGCCGAUAUCAGAUUAGCUAGUUGGUGAGGUAAAGGCUCACCAAGGCGACGAUCUGUAGCUGGUUUGAGAGGACGACCAGCCACACUGGGACUGAGACACGGCCCAGACUCCGUACGGGAGGC